This is a non-coding RNA of Anas platyrhynchos (mallard), 6818 nucleotides long. The record is from RefSeq and is a predicted model, not a curated record. NCBI's taxonomy places the organism in Eukaryota, Metazoa, Chordata, Aves, Anseriformes, Anatidae.
GCAACACGAUGAAGUUAUGUCAAUAAAGAAGCAGAAAGAAGGAAUGAAAAGGAACAGUCUGGCAGAAUGGAGACCAGGACGGGAAUAGGCACAUUGAUCACCUCAGCAAACCGCUCAGAGAAGCUCUUACAGAAAGUUUCUGGAAAUGGCACUCUGGAGCUGGAGAGAAGCUCAAGCUGAGAGAAGUGGACCCGUGCACACAACUGCCCCUCGCUGAUUGCUUAGGAAGACGAUGACGAAGAACGCGUGGCAGGGUAAGAGCUGCAACCUUGACUAGGCUGGGAACAGGUACGUGAGCAAUCAGCUGGUGUGCUGUGAAGUACCUUUGAAGGUAAAGUCAUGGUGGAAAUCAAAGCAACCUGAAAAGGAACCUGGUGGGGAGGUUGCCCUAGAACACUUCAAAGCAGUGUCUCUGAUUUAGACAUGUUGCCUCCUACGAGUUAGACAGAAGAAAAGGUGUUCUGGAGUCUCUUGUAGUGGGAGGAACGGAACCGACCUGCACUGAAAUCUCACAGAGCUUUAAACCUCCGUGUUGAUACAUACUGACUUUUGCUUUAAUCUGCUGAUGUCUUUCCUCCCUUUUAUUCUUCACUUAUUUAUUUAUUUAUUUUUAUUUUUUUUCAGUUUUAGACCUGUCUUGGGGAGUUCUCUUAAAGCUUGUUUUUAGCUGUCCAAAACUUGUGGGAAAGGCAAACAAGGAGCCUGAUUUCUCACAAAAAGAGCUAUGGUGAAAGAAGUGAAGUUAGCAGGAAGCUGACACGACAGAAAACAUGGAAGGCUGUGGGUUUUUUUUCCCCCGCCUUACAGAAAACUCCCUGUGACAGGAUGUCAUGGUCUAAAAUGUAACUAUGCAGAAAAAGAGAUUUAUCAUAAGCAUGCCAGUUGGGAGGUUAAUAUAAUAAUGACCUGGCUGUAGCUUAUGGUGUAGAUGCCCUUAAACCACAGAGUGCUGGAAGCUUAGGUGGGUAACUUGCAAGAAGCAACCCUCUGUAUAUUUGAUGUUUUUAUAACCUUUAUUGUAUGUUUUGUAUUGUUAAUGUUAGGUUUAUGUUAUUGUAUACCCAUUACCUAAUCAUCUUGUUCUGGGUGAAGGGACAUCAGAUUAAAGACGCCUAUGGCAUAGGCUCUUCAUGCUUGGAUUCCCCUCCUUGGGCUCUGCUUUGCAGAAGCCUUACAAAACUGAGCGACUGUUUCGUGGUCUGAUUGAGACUUGAGCUCCCCGUGCCUCAGAGCUUGCUGCUCCCAAGUUCUGCCAGGGAUGAGCUGGAAGGAGGGCGAUGUGAUGACUGAACCUCAAAGGUUCCUCACUGGGCCCCUUCCCCAGAGAUGUCUUCGGUCUGCUCUGGUGUUUUCAUCCCUCUAUGGCAUCUCCCCUGUCCACCUCCCGAGGUCAGCAUUGACCCUCCUGAGCAGCUCCUGCCUUUCUGCCUGUCUAAACUGAGCCAAGAGCAGGACUUUUAGGGGCUAAACAAGCAGUGCGGAAUAAUAAGGGGUGAACUUAUACCAAACCCAUAUAAAUCACAUUGAAAUUUAAUUAAAUAUCUUCCCAGGAUCUUUUGAACUGUUGAACCAAGUUGGCUGAAAAGGCAUCUUUCUCUGAAUCUCUACAACACAAACAUUUGAUACUUUGAAGUAGAAAAAGAAACAUUUCUGAGUGAAGUGUUGGAGUUAACAAAAGAUUUCCUUUCAUACAAGCUAUCGCUAGCCCUGCAGCUUAUGUGCAAGCUGCGCUGUGAGUUGAAGUGAUGGUGUUGGCAUGCCCAAAAGGCAUUAUCCUGUCUGACCGAGAUCUUCCAGCCACCAGCCUCUACGUAACACAGCCUCUGAGCGCAGAUCCUCUUGUGGACAGCUGCAGGGAAGUCCCUGUCUGGCUGCCCUGGCUGCCUACGCCAACCACAGUGAACACAGGAGGUUUAUAAUCAUUGUCUCUGGAGGGUGAUUUGUACUGGAAACCACGAGCUCAGUUUCCUUCUGUGCUCGCUGCUGACACACUUUUUGUAGAGAAAGCGAUGCAACCCAGCUGGCCCUGCCUCCAUCUGGUACUUAGCCUGGUAGGUUUCCCAUGUAGCCCUUCCCCUCUUCUUUUUAAAGGUUGUUCCUGAAAGAGGAUAAACCCCACCAAAACAAAAUAGGGAAAUAUAUUAAGAAUCAAAACCAUGAGAAAUAGGAAUUGCCACCAAAGAGUAGUGUUCUGCACUUUCCCUCCUCCCUCAGGUUGUUUUUUUGGGGGGCUGAUGUGGCUCAUGAAGCAGCCAGUAGUGGGGUGGGAAGACAGGAGAAUACGGUCGACCCUUUUGGUGACAGAACUGAUCUAUUUCUUUACUGAAAGGGCUGUUAGACAUUGGAACGGGCUGCCCACGGAAGUGGUGGAGUCACCAUCCCUGGAGAUCUUUAAAAGACAUUUAGAUGUAGAGCUUAGUGAUAUGGUUUAUUGGAGGACUUGUUAGUGUUAGGUCAGAGGUUGGACUCGAUGAUCUUGAGGUCUCUUCCAACCUAGAAAUUCUGUGAUUCUGUGAUUCUGUAAUAGAUAAGCUCAGCCUGCUUCACAUCAAGAGGAGGUAAAAAUCCAAUGCCUAAAACCUGGCAAAGUGGGAACUUUAUUACCCUGGCUGUUGGAAUUCCAGCGUGUGCCCUUGUCAUUUCAGUUUUAUAGCUUUAUUCUGCCCUUGCUUCCAGUUCUCAUUCCUGAGCAUCAGUUUCCUCCCCCUGAACUGAGGGACAGGCGGCGGUUUUCUUGCUGAUCUGGAGUUCAGCAGGCAGUGGUGGUCACAGAUGGGACUGGCCACCCCCGCGGUGGGACAGCAGGUUCGGGUCAGGCAACCACAACGGGAACUGCGUCGCUGUAGGAUGGCUGUGGACACUGCAGAUUUGUGGAGAGCUCUCAGAAAUUUCAGCAGCUUGCAUCCUUGUGAUUUCUUCUCAUACUUGCUGCUGAGCCUUAAAUCCCACAGAUACAAUCUUCUGGUAGCGUUUUGCCCUUUUUCUGUGGUGGGUGGAAGUGUAAAAAUAUUGGGGUUAGCGCUUGAGGGGAUAGAGACAGAGAGAGAGACAUAUCUUGCCCUUAAAGAUCUUCGUUGUUACAUUUUAAACAAAAUUUUACUUGAAUUUUGUGUGAUGUGGGAGUUUGGCACAGAGUCAGCUUUAUCUGCCUGAUCCCUCAUCACCCAACUUGACAGCAAACACUCAGAGGAAGAUGGCACUUAGUAGAAAGUCUUCCUGAGCAUGUCAAGUUUUCUACUGCAAAGCUGCUUUCUCUUUCCAUGGCACCAGUGCUAUGCAACUUACACUGGGGAGAGGGGCUUCUUUCACGCUGAGGCAAGUCAGAAGUGGAAGCCAUUGAAACACAAGGCGGAUUUCUGUAGUAUUUGUAUUGCCGUGCCAGUGUCAACAAAGACCAGGGUAUGGCAGUGCUGGCUGUGGUCCAAAUUUGUAGGUCAAGUUGGGUUUUCUGCACCAUUUGGGAGCUGCAGCUGCAAGUGUCUAAGACAGGUGAGGUAUCUUGCCGUGUGGAGAUGCUGGCACCUUUCCACGGGUUAUAGCAGAACCCUCUGCUCCUAUGCAAGGUAGGUACCCACCUUUUAAAUGGCUAAAGACAGACAAGACACCUCCCAGCCCACGGGGUGUGAAGCCUCAGCAGAAUUUACAGCUCUGGGAUGUGAUUUAAUGUAAUAUUUUGCUGGAGGCAGGUUUCUGCGCUCUGUGUGAGGAGGAGCCAUCUCUGUAUCUCAGUUACUUAAUCCUGUUAAUAGAAAUAGAGAACUUUUGUUGCGAUGGCACCGAGCUACCUCCAGCUGGCAUUAAAAGCUGCCAUCCUGGCAGACAGACAAGCCCGGGGCUCCCGAAAUUAACUCAAUCAGGUGAAUCAAUACACUGAUCCCAGCUGCGUCAGGCAGGAGAUUCGACUACUGCCCUACUGCCCUGUCAAUACCUGCGGACACAUUAAAUUGAUUCCUUCCAGCCUUUCUUUUAUAACUUGUCUUUAUAGGAUUGUCAGUGGGUUGUUGCUAGUAUGAUGCUUUUUUUUUUUUUCUUUAACAGACUCCAAAGACCAAAGUAUCUAACUAAUAUGACUUGUUAAGUAAAGUCAUAGUCAACAAGCAUAAAAUUGUACACAGCCAUCCAAAAAAAGAAUGCAAUUUGACAUGUAUUUUAAGUCGUAACUAUCAAUAACCAACUUGUUUACAGCAAACAAACCAGCAGAGCAGUUUAUAACCUUAAGAAAACUUCACAGAAUAUUUUUUAUUUUUAUUUUUUUACGCCUUUGCCUCAGCAAACUGUUCUAGGAGCUCAGCUGAACUGUCGUUAUUAACUUGCCCCAAAUUGCUGAGACUAACCCACAGCACCCUGACUAUCUGGUAUAUUUUUAUACUAAAAUGUGUCCUGUAAAAAAUCACCAGCUUAGUACAAGUCCAGAGCAUUCACGGUUUGCAGCUUGGCGUAGAGACAAAGUGUUCUAGGCGUACGUGGGUACUGGCUGGCGAAGGCAGCGUCUCGCGGGCAGCAUCCUCUCCCUCGAGGAGUUACGUGGAUUUAGAGCUUCAUUUGCUUUUGCAUGUGGAAUUACACAUCGGGCUAUAAAGUCGAUGAAAUAAUUCUGUUUGAGCGUUAACUUAGCAGAACGAAAUCUUGUUUUAUCGAGGAUAUAUUUGUAUGUUUUAAACAAUGCUGCUUUUUCCUAAUAAAAAACAGUGUUACUAUUCAAAAGUGGAAAAUGGCAUUAUUAUUCACAGUGAAAAAUGUCAUUGUUGUGCUGAUAACUGUUGACAGGUACUUGUCAUGGUUUUGUGCUAUGAUGUGCUAAUUAUUCUGAAGUUCAAUCAGAUGGCAUUUUGUGUUUUCAUUUCAACUGUAACAACACAGUACUUGUGACAUGUUGACAAGCACGUGUUUAAUUGCUCCGUGGUUAUCUUCCAAGCUCAUGUGUUUUCCACUUAGUUUGUGAAGAAAGUUGCAUAAUUACCUCCGAGGCUACAGGGUAUGUUGCUCAUUAUUUUAUUUUCAUUUUCGCUUUGGUGAUAAACACAGAAUGGUGACAGAUGUGAAAGCCCAUCUUUGAUGCUGAACGCUACCUCAACUGGACUGCGAAGGUGGAGACUCAUGGUUGGUCCUGCAAAUCAAAGGCAUGAAGCACCCAUGGUGAGACCCUGUCCUUCUCCUCAACUUCUCUUUGCCUCACUUCCCACUACAGAUUAGACGUUUAAGAGGUCACCUAACAUGUAUCUGGGACAGACUUUAUUGUUGGUACCGCUCCAGAUUAUGUCUGUUGUCCUAGGUGUAACUAGGAGAUCAGGAUAGGUGCUUGCCCAUGGGUGUCUGAGCUGUCAGUCUGCGGCCAUAGGCUCAGACUCAGUGGCUGAGGCACUGCUGUCUGGUCCUGCCUCUUAUGGACUUGCUGUUAUUUGCAGUAAUUCCAGUUUCCACUGAGGCUGAAAGCUGCCAUAUUGAAUCCUAGCAAGGAGAACUUUGAGUUAACCUACUAACCAGAGAGAGGUUUGGGAGGAAAAGUCAUCACCAUCUUUUCUUCUUUCUCCUUUGCAAGGGCAUACUUCAGUUGCUUCUCCAAAUCAGGCAGAAGGUUCUUAGGAGGUUGUUGGGUUCAUAAAGACAUUUACAUAUGGAUUAGGUUGACAUCAAUCAGGAUUCAUUACAUUCAGUUGUACAGGAGCAUUAAUUGUGACACUUUUUUUCUGAAAUACAUUAUAUGGAUUGUUUUACAGACAGAGCCAUUAAUCUGUCUCCUCAGUUAGAAAAUAGUUUAAGUAUAAAUUAGGUGGAGUUUUUGCUUGCUGCAUGGUUAACGGAGCCAAAGUCAGCCCAUCAGACCCAGGAGUAUUGAGACUCCCAGACACAAGACCAUCCCAAAGACCCAAGACCACUUUGCAGCCCAGCUUGCUUUUAUCCUUUCAGAAACUGUCUAGAUCAGAAGCACAGACGUCCCUCACAAAGUGAUUCAUACUUGCUGAGAACCUAUGUGACAGGGAGAAAUGAUGAGCUGGUGAUAAAAAUCAUUACCUUGACCUUUCCUACUUUAUCUGGAAGAACCAGGUACGUAGUUGGGACUCAGCAGAUUUCCUUCUGCUCUCCUUGCCAGUGCUGUCAGCCCCGUUGGCUUGGCUAUCUGCUCUCUGGGUUCAUCCUGCCUGUCCAUCACAGUGCUGCCUCAGCACGCACCGCCACAAGUAGGCUUAAUGCUGACGGCUUGAAGGGGAGGGAGGUUAGGUCUGACAAUGUUCAGGUGAGAGCAGAAGUUUGUGCUUCUUCUGUGGUGUUCAGUGAUUGAGCGUUGACAAUUUUAAUGCUCAAGGACAGUUCUGUCUCAUUAAUUCUCUCUGUGUUUAGAAUUCAGAACAGCCAAAGUGUUUGAAAGACCAGUCAAUCAAGCUGUCGUCUUCUCCCUCUUCACCUUUACAUUUAUAGUUCCCAGCCUUUCCUUGGCUAAACCUCUUAUGCUCCAACCUGGGAAGAAAAGCAGGGGCUCCUCAGAAAGGGACAAACUCUGGGACUAAAUUUCAGUAUGCCUUCGCUGAACCUUGAGCUGGGGGAGGAAAGGAUCUGCCACUGGAGUUACAGGCUUGUGCAACACCACAAUUAGAUUGACAAGAUGCUCCAGCAACAAGUAUGCAUCCAAAGUUUAAUAUUUAUAGCCUAAAAAAAUUGUAGAGGGAACAAAUUAAUUAAAAAUGCAACAAAGAAGAAUUCAGAUGUAUUUCUCCUUUCUUUCUUUGCUAAUACAAAGACCAGCCCCUGUGGUAUGACAGAUACCCUUAUCUAAGCCUUCUGCUUUUCUCUUGAAAUGACCCUAAAGUUAUUCUGUUCUG